GUGAAUUUUGCCAAAAAAUGGCAGCAUUUGAAAAUUACGAAAAAUAUGAAAUGCUUGUAUGUUUUAUACAAAGCAAUAACAAUGCUGAAGAAGUUUCGGAACUAUAUUUCCAUAGAUAUCCAGAGAGAAGGCAACCGUUUUUUGGUAUAUUUACUUGUUUAAAGAACAAUUUACUUGAGCACAAAUCUUUUGUUUAACCGCGUCCUAAAGCAUACAAUAAACAAAAUAGGGAAGUAAAAGAAAUAGAUGUUUUAGGUUAUAUAGAAGCGACACCCUCGAGCUCAUGCAGAAAAAUCGAAAAAGAAAGUGGAGUGCCAAAAACUGACGCACAACUAGAUGGUACCUAGAGAUACUUGAGGAAGUUAUUCGAGAACUUCUAGAAAAUAUUCCUCUAGCCCAAUAUAACACUGUCUACCUACAAAAAAAAAUGGUGCCCCAAGUCAUACUCUGUGCUAUUAAGGGCAUUUCUUGAAAAUAACUUUGCUCAAACAUCGAUAGGUACCAACGGACCUGUUAGAUGGCCUCCAUUGUCCCCCGAUGUCUCGAUUUGGGUUUUUUUAUGGGGGUAUAUACAAGAUUAAGUGUAUAAAAGACAAUGCAAUAAUCUAAUAGAACUUCAAGACGCAAUUCAUUUAGCAUUGCAAAAUCUGAGAAGGAGACAAAUUAUUAUUUUGAAUGCUAUUCAAAGGGUUACAAAGAUGUGCCAAUUUUGCAUAAGGUGGUGGUCAUUUUGAACAUCUCUUAUAAAAAUGUUGUUUUGUUAUAUGGUUGUUUUCUUAUAGUGUUUAUUAAAUUUAUAUACUUGUUU
This is a long non-coding RNA of Anthonomus grandis grandis, 808 nucleotides long. RefSeq lists it as uncharacterized. The record is from RefSeq and is a predicted model, not a curated record. The transcript has 2 exons. Lineage: Eukaryota; Metazoa; Arthropoda; Insecta; Coleoptera; Curculionidae.